ACAUGCUUGUUAGACUUUGAGCCACACAUUUAUUAUUUACUGCUUAUGAGCAUUGAGUGUGGUCAAGCUGUGUUGACCCUUAGGAGCUUGUCAUGUGGUUAAAUCAAGAUUUCACUUGCACGUUCACUCAUAUAUGCUACUUCUACUCCGGAAGUACCAUCCACAUAUAUCCACCCAUUCCAUCUCCAGAAUCACCCAAAAAUAUUCUGCUCCUAAUCCGGGAGAGAAUAACCAAAAAUAUUUCU
Molecule: long non-coding RNA, 245 nt
Filed under: Sorghum bicolor (sorghum)
Lineage: Eukaryota; Viridiplantae; Streptophyta; Magnoliopsida; Poales; Poaceae
Description: long non-coding RNA (SBIC_LNC015706)
Source: RNAcentral